Molecule: long non-coding RNA, 749 nt
Organism: Oncorhynchus gorbuscha (pink salmon)
Lineage: Eukaryota; Metazoa; Chordata; Actinopteri; Salmoniformes; Salmonidae
Exons: 2
Source: RefSeq, a predicted model, not a curated record
CUGAGGUUGUGUUGGCAGCCACUGAGGUUGUGUUGGCAGCCACUGAGGUUGUGUUGGCAGCCACUGAGGUUGUGUUGGCAGCCACUGAGGUUGUGUUGGCAGCCACUGAGGUUGUGUUGGCAGCCACUGAGGUUGUGUUGGCAGCCACUGAGGUUGUGUUGGCAGCCACUGAGGUUGUGUUGGCAACCACUGAGGUUGUGUUGGCACUGAGAAAUAUUUGGGUGUACGAGAUUUGACCUCAGAAGAGUUACAGGGUGUGUUGAGUGUUGGUGUCCCGUCCUUUCAGGAUGUUGGCCUGAGGUCGGACUAGAUAGGUUUAAAUAGUGGAGUAGGGUGGUGUGUUUUAAAUGAGUGUACGGGUAGAUGGUAUUUGUUGAUUCAUUUUGACUUUUUUUUCAAGCAAAGUACAAGGUAGUUAUACUCCAGCCUAGUAGGGGGCAGUAAUGCCACAUUUAUUGGAUGCCAACUGCCAUUAAAGCUCAUGGAAGAAGUCUUCCCUUGUUAGUAGGAGCAAGCUGACAGCCUGGAUAGCUGCCUUUAGCCUGAUCUGCAGACAGUGAGUAUAGACCUAAUACAACCAUAACACAUCGUUAAUAUAACCAUAACACAACCAUAAUGCAACCGAACCGUACUGCACAUGAUCUACAAACAGUGAGUAUAGACCUAAUACAACCAUAACACAACAUUAACACAACCGUAACACACUGUUUAUAUGGCACAACGUUAAUACAACCAUAACACAACAUUAA